Molecule: long non-coding RNA, 381 nt
Filed under: Fragaria vesca (wild strawberry)
Lineage: Eukaryota; Viridiplantae; Streptophyta; Magnoliopsida; Rosales; Rosaceae
Description: long non-coding RNA (FVES_LNC003081)
Source: RNAcentral
UAGUCCGUACCCAAAGGAUGAGAGACGGAUCCAAUUACAGAUAAGAGUACUGGCUGGCAUACGUCGUUUUGAUACAAGAAAUUGAUAUAUAAUCAUAUCUGAUUAUAGUCUCCUUCAAAUCUUUGCCAAUAGAACAAAAAUGUACAAAAAUCAAAACCCUAAACCGAUGAAAACUAAACUAAGACGAAACAAAUAGAAACGAGGAGGUUGUAAAAUCCUGGUCGGGAAAGAAGAGAAACUUACCUACUCACUAGAAGACCAACCUCUUUCUCCUUCCUCUCCUUUUCUCUUCCUUUACUUUAGGUUUUAUCUUAGCAAAUCGGUAGAGGAACGAAACGGAACAGACUUCUUAAUCGAUCUGUUUCUAAUAAGCUAGGGUUU